AUUCCAGCUCCAAUAGCGUAUAUUAAAGUUGUUGCAGUUAAAAAGCUCGUAGUUGAAGAUAAGAGUUUCUUCACUUGAACAAAGUUCAGGUGACUAAUCUCAUUUUUCGCAAAGACGGUAGGGCAUAUUGAUUUAUGCUUUAUUUGAGUUGCGUCGUUUACUGUGAACAAAUUAGGGUGUUUAAAGCAGGCCUACGUUUGAAUACACUAGCAUGGAAUAAUAAGAUAUGAUCUCGGUUGUAUUUUGUUGGUGUCUCCUGAGAUAAUGAUUGAUAGAAACUGUUGUGGGUAUUCGUAUGAGCAUGUCAGAGGUGAAAUUCUUGGAUUUUGAUCAGACGAACUACUGCGAAAGCAUUUACCAAGGAUGUUUUCAUUA
RNAcentral lists this ribosomal RNA (375 nucleotides) under Labyrinthula sp. RNAcentral's name for it is "partial small subunit ribosomal RNA". It matches the Rfam family "Eukaryotic small subunit ribosomal RNA", at positions 582 to 975 of the family's 1831-position model. The record is from RNAcentral. Lineage: Eukaryota; Bigyra; Labyrinthulida; Labyrinthulaceae.